This 352-nucleotide long non-coding RNA is filed under the name Erythranthe guttata (spotted monkey flower). RNAcentral describes it as "long non-coding RNA (EGUT_LNC001687)". Lineage: Eukaryota; Viridiplantae; Streptophyta; Magnoliopsida; Lamiales; Phrymaceae. The record is from RNAcentral.
AAUCAAUUUCAUAGUUCAAUAGUUUUGGGAUUCCAAUAACAAGUGAUAAUAAUUUGUGGUCACGAAAUCACAAGUCAAGAAAGGUACGAUCGGUUUCAGUAUAAGAGUGACCACAAUUCAGGAUCGUAUAACAAUUGAUGAAGAUGUAUCUCAAUCAACAAUAGUCUACGGUUAAAAUUGAAUCCGUAGUUGUAUAGCUCGAAAGACAAGUGGUUUCAAAGGAUCAAUGAGAAGUCAAGCUAUGAAUGAUCCAUCAAUUCUCAGUAGGUACGAAACGAGUGAUUUAAUGGAUAAAUAGAAUAAUCCUAAAUGGUCCAAUAGUCGGGAAAAGAACGAUUUACAUUUAUUGAAC